Molecule: long non-coding RNA, 885 nt
Filed under: Ananas comosus (pineapple)
Lineage: Eukaryota; Viridiplantae; Streptophyta; Magnoliopsida; Poales; Bromeliaceae
Description: long non-coding RNA (ACOM_LNC001279)
Source: RNAcentral
AAAAAUAGAAAACUUCCUAAUGAAUACACGCUUUUUUACUUUCUUUAUCGACUUUCAAAAAUCUACAUUUUACCCUCUGAUAAUUUUAAGCUGAUAUAUUUAGUCCCCCUCAAUCAAGAUUCUAUUAUUAUUCCAUCAAUUUUUCAUAAUUUAUAUUAAAAAUAUCAUUAAAAAUGACAGAAAUAUAUUAAAAAUUAUUUUUUAAAAACAAGUGAGGGCAAUUUAGUUAUUUCAUCGUCUUUAUUAACGUCGCAAAUUUUUGAAAAUAUUUCUUAAAUCUUGAAGGGAGAAAAAGAGGGGUCUAAUUUAAUUUUUAUUUCAACACUUUUAAGAUAUUAGAGGGAAAAAGAAAAUUAUAAGUGCUUUUGAACCAAACAUAGCCAUAAUUGCAAACUAAAAUGUUCAAGAGGCUAGUUCUAGCAAUAUAUAUUUUAGUGAGUUAAUCGUACUAGGACAGGAGUAGUUCUAGGUUGGGUGACCCCUGAAAAUUUAGGGCGUCACAAUAAUUUUUAGGGUAAAUUGCACGUUUGGUCCUCAAACUAUGAGGUAGAUAAUAUUUUGGUUGGUCUUUAAAUUUUAAUCUGUUAUAAUUUUCGACUCGGACUUACAGAAUUAUCUUAAUCAAGUCCUACAAUCUAAUUUAGUAUACUAAAUAUUAACAUAUUACUAAUGUAAAAAUGAUACUGCGUCUUAAUUUUUGGCUCGUCAUUAAUUAUAAUACUGCUACAUCACUUCUACGUUAGUGAAGCAUUAAUAUUUAGUCAACUAAAUUAGGUAAUAGAAUUUGAUACCAUAAAUUAAAAUUUAAAAACUAAAGUGUCACCUGACUCAUAGUUUGGUUUUACCCUUAUUUAUAUUGGUUUUAUUCACUAAUUUUAUCUUAAC